This 231-nucleotide unclassified non-coding RNA is filed under the name uncultured Clitopilus. Its description in RNAcentral is "sequence contains ITS1". The record is from RNAcentral. Lineage: Eukaryota; Fungi; Basidiomycota; Agaricomycetes; Agaricales; Entolomataceae.
AUGAAUAAACUUGGUCAAGCUGUUGCUGGUCCUUCGGGACAUGUGCACGCUUGCCACCAAUUUUAACCACCUGUGCACCUUUUGUAGACUAGAAACGUUUCUCGAGGCAACUCGGAUUGAGAAUUGCUGUGCGCAAGCCGGCUGUUCUUGUGUUUCUUAGUCUAUGUUUCAUAUACUCCGAAUGUAUGUGUUAGAAUGUAUUGCUGGGCCUUAGUGCCUUUAAAUCAAAUA